Molecule: ribosomal RNA, 404 nt
Filed under: Fusobacteriota bacterium
Lineage: Bacteria; Fusobacteriati; Fusobacteriota
Description: Fusobacteria bacterium partial 16S ribosomal RNA
Rfam family: Bacterial small subunit ribosomal RNA
Source: RNAcentral
UGGGGAAUAUUGCACAAUGGAGGGAACUCUGAUGCAGCGACGCCGCGUGAGUGAUGAAGGAAUUCGUUUCGUAAAACUCUGUUCUAUGGGAAGAAAAGGACUGUACCAUAGGAGAAAGCACCGGCUAAAUACGUGCCAGCAGCCGCGGUAAUACGUAUGGAGCGAGCGUUGUCCGGAAUUAUUGGGCGUAAAGGGUGCGCAGGCGGCUUUACAAGUUGGAUGUGAAAUAUUGUGGCUCAACCACAAACGUGCAUCCAAAACUGCAAAGCUUGAGUUAAGGAGAGGUAAGUGGAAUUCCUGGUGUAGCGGUGGAAUGCGUAGAUAUCAGGAGGAAUACCGGUAGCGAAGGCGACUUACUGGACUUAAACUGACGCUCAGGCACGAAAGCGUGGGGAGCAAACAGG